GACGAACGCUGGCGGCGUGCCUAAUACAUGCAAGUCGAACGAACCGCGACUAGGUGCUUGCACUUGGUCAAGGUGAGUGGCGAACGGGUGAGUAACACGUGGGUAACCUACCUCAUAGUGGGGGAUAACAGUCGGAAACGACUGCUAAUACCGCAUAGGACAUGGGAUCACAUGAUUCUGUGAGGAAAGGUGGCGCAAGCUAUCGCUAAGAGAUGGACCCGCGGUGCAUUAGCUAGUUGGUAGGGUAACGGCCUACCAAGGCGAUGAUGCAUAGCCGACCUGAGAGGGUGAUCGGCCACAUUGGGACUGAGACACGGCCCAAACUCCUACGGGAGGCAGCAGUAGGGAAUCUUCCGCAAUGGACGCAAGUCUGACGGAGCAACGCCGCGUGAGUGAAGAAGGUCUUCGGAUCGUAAAGCUCUGUUGUUAGAGAAGAACAGCGCAUAGAGUAACUGUUAUGCGUGUGACGGUAUCUAAACAGAAAGCCACGGCUAACUACGUG
This 502-nucleotide ribosomal RNA is filed under the name uncultured bacterium. Its description in RNAcentral is "partial 16S ribosomal RNA". It matches the Rfam family "Bacterial small subunit ribosomal RNA", at positions 28 to 507 of the family's 1533-position model. The record is from RNAcentral.